UGAGGGUGGACUGACAGUCGGGUGAACGUAAGACGGUCCCAACAAGAACAAGAAGCCUCUCUUCGGCCAUUCAUGCACAUUCUCUCUCCUACGCCUCCUAUUCCGUUCUUCCCUCUCCCCAAUUGUUUCCUAAUUGUCGCGCCUGGCUAUUGUAAUUCCGUGUUCGACAAAAUGGCUAUUGGUGUGGAAGUAUUACACGUCCGUACUUCGACAAGGGUUCGGCGUGAUUGAUCCUGCGAUCAGUCAGGUUAGUUGAUUCUUGUUCUUCAAGUAUUGUUAACGUGAUGCCGACACGGGUUCUUUCUUUGCUUUCGACCGAAGGUCUGUUUUGGCCUUCUCAUUCUCUCUUUGCUAUCAAUCGAAGUUUUGUUUCGCUUGCGAUUUUAGAGCUUCCAUACUUCUCACGACGGUUCAUACUUCAGUCCAGACUCGGCUUCCUUCAUCAAUCAGGGUAGGUUUGACUAAUCUUGGGAUCUAGGGCUCCUUUCAAACUCUUAUCUCACAUCUUCCUGGAAUUGUGCGUGAAUAUUGGAAAUUUAUCUCCACAGUGAAGGUCGAUGACAGUGAUACUAAGCUUCAACAACUAAAGGACAAUCUGAGAGUUAUAACUUAGGUUAAGAGGUUAUUGUUAAAAUAAUUAAAUAGCAAAGGUUAUUCAACCUUGCUGAUCGAAAUCUGAUUACGAUAUUUCUUAUGAUAUUGUUCAACCCUGUCUACUGAUCACAAUAGAUAUCUAAUUGGAAAUGACAAACACUGCUGGAGUGAUAAUGGUGUCUCAAAUAUUGAAGGGGGAUGCAUUGAUCUCUCGAGGGAAAAAGAGUAAUCUGGAAUGCCAUAAAGUUUGGAUGGAGAGGCUAUAGUGUUUAGUUUGAUAUUGUACUGUACGGUAAAUUUUGUUUUGGCAUGUCAAUAUACAUAUAUUAUAUAUAUGAGUAUGAUAUAGAUUGACUGUGGUUGGCAGUGUUGGAGAAUGUGGUGUUCGAUUAGCAUACGCGAGAAGUUAAUUAUGUUGAUAGAUCCGUCGCAGGUAAAUUAUGAGUUGAACUAACUGAAUUUACUUUUAUUUAGUCUGGAGAAUUGCUUCUAAGUAUACUUGGUCUAGAUUUCUUUCCUUUUAUGCUUCAUUAUCAAAAAUUGCAAAUUUUCAUUUUAAGCUUUGAAUGCCUUUGAUCAUUGAUAUUGAAGAAGGUGAAGGGAUUGGGCAUGUCUCAAUGCUAAUUGUUGGAAGACACUAGGUUGACCCUUCAUAUAGAGUAGGACUGUAGGAGACAGAAAAGGGUAGAAGAAUGGUUGCUUCUUUGUUGCUCUUGAUUCUUUUGCACUACUGAAUACUGAUAUGCAUUUAUUAAUGAAGUGACUACUAUUGGAUAUCAAAAUAGAUUUAUGGUUUUUCUUGAACUGAAAACUAUUAUUGUACUGAAACAUGUAAAACUAUUAGUAAUUGAGGGUAAUUGGACUUGACUCGGUGAUGUCAGACCAGUGUGAAGUUAUGUUAUUCUGUUUCAUAUUCAGAAAUUACUACCAUUGCAUUGCACUGUUUAAAAUUUUCAUUUCUUUUUGUAAGAUGCUAUUGUUGCUGGUAUAGAGGGAAAAAUUGCAACAUGGACAGUUCUUCCAAAAGGUUUGCCAUAAAUUAAAUGAGUCAGCAUCAUAUUCAGGUUCCUUAAUUUACUGCAUACAAAUUUCAAGCACAAGUACACUUGAAACAAUUUUUUAUGCAUUUUGGUCCAAGAAUCAUAUACUGAAUUCUGGAAUAGGAAAAUGUAAAUAUAAGUUGUUUAUUUUCGUGGUAAUUCAUGUUUAUUUAUUGAGAUAUAAUGAACUAUCAUCGCGUUGGGUGUCUUUGUUUUAUUUUCUCAAAGUGGAUUGAUUUCGAUAUGGUGUGGGGUACUGGGUAUGAGACUCAAAAUAUAUUGAUUUUUUCUUUCAAUAGUAUGUAACAUAUACAAUGAAUCAAUGAUAGUUCUAUACCUGUUAGUUUAUUUCAUAACCUGUGUUUAAUUCAAAUGGUGUUAUUAUAUAAUUCCAAAAUCUUACAAACACUUGACCAGUGCAUAUGCUUGGCACUUAUGCUGAGCAGUUCAGUGUUAGAGCAGGGAUUAGAAUUUGUUGUUUUCUUAAUUUAAUUUACAUCUUCUUUUAUUUUGUUUAGUUCCACGUAAAUUUGAUGAGCAGGGAUUAGGAUUUGCUGUGUUCGUGGGUUUAGAUGGAGAGGAUAUCGAAGAUUAAGAAGCACUAACAGAGAGGGACAAUAUCAAACAAAGGGGAGUGGGGGGGGGGGGGGGGGGGGGGUGUGCCCGGUGUUAUGGUCAGAAACAAUAGUGAAAGCCAAGGAGAUGUCUAGGAUGAAGUUUUUGGAAAGUGAAGCAAAUACUUCCAUCAAGUGAGAUUCUUCUUACGCCGCGGAACCAUAAAAUCUUCACAUUACCAGAGCUAAAUAGUGCAACCAAGAAUUUUAGACCAGACACGGUGCUUGACGAAGGUGGAUUUGGGAGGUCUCCAGGGGUUGGUUGACAAGAAGACCUAUGCAUCUUCAAGGGCUUGUGUUGGUAUGGUUGUCGCUGUUAAGAAGUCAAACCCUGAUAGCUUCAAGGCGUAGAGGUCUUUUUUUCCUCCUUUCUUUUGUUAUUUUGUUCAAUUCAUUUAAGAAGUCCACGAUUUUUUUAAUCUUAAAAUUAAAAUCCACAAUUAUUAUUCAUCUAA
Tripterygium wilfordii is the source of this 2703-nucleotide long non-coding RNA. RefSeq lists it as uncharacterized. The transcript has 3 exons. NCBI's taxonomy places the organism in Eukaryota, Viridiplantae, Streptophyta, Magnoliopsida, Celastrales, Celastraceae. The record is from RefSeq and is a predicted model, not a curated record.